GGAAGUGUGCCCGAGACACCAAGGACUACUUUGAUAGAGUAGACAACAGGAACUAAUCCUCCUCACUUCCU
RNAcentral lists this transfer RNA (71 nucleotides) under Cnemaspis limi. RNAcentral describes it as "tRNA-Ile". Lineage: Eukaryota; Metazoa; Chordata; Lepidosauria; Squamata; Gekkonidae. The record is from RNAcentral.